UACGUAGGCAGCAAGCGUUGUUCGGAGUUACUGGGCGUAAAGGGUGUGUAGGCGGUUUCGUAAGUCUGGUGUGAAAUCUCCCGGCUCAACUGGGAGGGUGCGCCGGAAACUGCGAGGCUAGAGUGUGGGAUGGGAGAGUGGAAUUCCUGGUGUAGCGGUGAAAUGCGUAGAUAUCAGGAGGAACACCUGCGGUGUAGACGGCUCUCUGGACCACUACUGACGCUGAAACACGAAAGCGUGGGUAGCAAACAGG
This 253-nucleotide ribosomal RNA is filed under the name uncultured bacterium. Its description in RNAcentral is "partial 16S ribosomal RNA". It matches the Rfam family "Bacterial small subunit ribosomal RNA", at positions 524 to 776 of the family's 1533-position model. The record is from RNAcentral.